This 1239-nucleotide ribosomal RNA is filed under the name metagenome. RNAcentral describes it as "bacterial SSU rRNA". It matches the Rfam family "Bacterial small subunit ribosomal RNA", at positions 275 to 1498 of the family's 1533-position model. The record is from RNAcentral.
UAAGACGGGUAGCUGGUCUGAGAGGACGACCAGCCACACUGGAACUGAGACACGGUCCAGACACCUACGGGUGGCAGCAGUCGAGAAUUUUUCACAAUGGGCGCAAGCCUGAUGGAGCGACGCCGCGUGGGGGAUGAAUGGCUUCGGCCCGUAAACCCCUGUCAUUCGGGAUCAAUGCGUCUGGUUGAACAUUCCAGACGUUGAUAGUACCGGAAGAGGAAGGGACGGCCAACUCUGUGCCAGCAGCCGCGGUAAUACAGAGGUCCCAAGCGUUGUUCGGAUUUACUGGGCGUAAAGGGUGCGUAGGCGGUCGGGUAAGUCUGGUGUGAAAUUUCGGAGCUCAACUCCGAAACGGCAUUGGAUACUAUUCGGCUAGAGGUUGGGAAGGGAGACUGGAAUUCUCAGUGUAGCAGUGAAAUGCGUAGAUAUCGAGAGGAACACCAGUGGCGAAGGCGAGUCUCUGGACCAAUCCUGACGCUGAGGCACGAAAGCCAGGGGAGCAAACGGGAUUAGAUACCCCGGUAGUCCUGGCCCUAAACGGUGCAUGUUUGCUGUAAGAGGAAUCGACCCCUCUUGUGGCGGAGCUAACGCGUUAAACAUGCCGCCUGGGGAGUACGGUCGCAAGAUUAAAACUCAAAGAAAUUGACGGGGGCCUGCACAAGCGGUGGAGUAUGUGGCUCAAUUCGAUCAACGCGAAGAACCUUACCUGGCCUUGACAUGCAAGUGGUAGAAGGAUGAAAGUCUAACGACCCCGCAAGGGGAGCUUGCACAGGUGCUGCAUGGCUGUCGUCAGCUCGUGUCGUGAGAUGUUGGGUUAAGUCCCACAACGAGCGCAACCCCUGUGUCCUGUUGCCACCCGGCCGAGAGGCUGGAGCACUCUGGACAGACUGCCUCGCUUCAACGAGGAGGAAGGUGGGGAUGACGUCAAGUCAGGAUGGCCCUUACGGCCAGGGCUGCACACGUACUACAAUGCCCGGUACAAUGGGAAGCAAUACGGCAACGUGGAGCAAAUCCCCCAAAACCGGGCCCAGUUCAGAUUGUCGUCUGCAACUCGACGGCAUGAAGUUGGAAUCGCUAGUAAUGGCGCAUCAGCUACGGCGCCGUGAAUACGUUCCCAGGCCUUGUACACACCGCCCGUCACAUCAUGAAAGCCGGUCGUACCCGAAGUCAUUGUGCUAACCGCAAGGAAGCAGAUGCCGAAGGUAUGGCUGGUGAUUGGGAUGAAGUCGGAACAAGGUA